Molecule: long non-coding RNA, 693 nt
Organism: Anguilla rostrata (American eel)
Lineage: Eukaryota; Metazoa; Chordata; Actinopteri; Anguilliformes; Anguillidae
Exons: 5
Source: RefSeq, a predicted model, not a curated record
CCUACAGCUCCCACAGUUCUAUGGGAAGGAUGACAGUGAGGUUCCUACAAUUCCCACAGUUCCAUGGGACAGAUGACUGUGAGGUUCCUACAAAUCCCACAGUUCUAUGGGGCAGAUGACAGUGAGGUUCCUACAAUUCCCACAGUUCCAUGGGACAGAUGACUGUGAGGUUCCUACAAAUCCCACAGUUCUAUGGGGCAGAUGACAGUGAGGUUCCUACAACUCCCACAGUUCCAUGGGACAGAUGACAGUGAGGUUCCUACAGCUCCCACAGUUCUAUGGGACAGGAUGACAUGAGGUUCCUACAAUUCCCACAGUUCCAUGGGACAGAUGACUGUGAGGUUCCUACAAAUCUCACAGUUCUAUGGGGCAGAUGACAGUGAGGUUCCUACAACUCCCACAGUUCUAUGGGGCAGAUGACAGUGAGGUUCCUACAACUCCCACAGUUCUAUGGGACAGAUGACAGUAAGGUUCCUACAGCUCCCACAGUUUUAUGGGAUGGAUGAUAGUGAGGUUCCUACAGCUCCCACAGUUCUAUGGGACGGAUGACAGUGAGGUUCCUACAAUUCCCACAGUUCUAUGGGGCAGAUGACAGUGAGGUUUUGACAUGAGAUUCUCUGCAUUCACAGCACCUUAUAGGCUCUGAAAUCUCCCAAUGCAGCUGAUAUAAAAGAGUAUUGCUUUUUCCCCCCG